UCCUACACGACUCUCGGCAACGGAUAUCUCGGCUCUCGCAUCGAUGAAGAACGUAGCGAAAUGCGAUACCUGGUGUGAAUUGCAGAAUCCCGCGAACCAUCGAGUCUUUGAACGCAAGUUGCGCCCGAGGCCAUUCGGUCGAGGGCACGCCUGCCUGGGCGUCACG
This 166-nucleotide ribosomal RNA is filed under the name Chascolytrum subaristatum. RNAcentral's name for it is "5.8S ribosomal RNA". It matches the Rfam family "5.8S ribosomal RNA". From Rfam's summary of the family: 5.8S ribosomal RNA (5.8S rRNA) is a component of the large subunit of the eukaryotic ribosome. Lineage: Eukaryota; Viridiplantae; Streptophyta; Magnoliopsida; Poales; Poaceae. The record is from RNAcentral.